Molecule: ribosomal RNA, 644 nt
Filed under: uncultured bacterium
Lineage: Bacteria
Description: bacterial SSU rRNA
Rfam family: Bacterial small subunit ribosomal RNA
Source: RNAcentral
CGCGGCCUAUCAGCUUGUUGGUGAGGUAAUGGCUCACCAAGGCGACGACGGGUAGCCGGCCUGAGAGGGUGACCGGCCACACUGGGACUGAGACACGGCCCAGACUCCUACGGGAGGCAGCAGUGGGGAAUAUUGCACAAUGGGCGAAAGCCUGAUGCAGCGACGCCGCGUGAGGGAUGACGGCCUUCGGGUUGUAAACCUCUUUCAGCAGGGAAGAAGCCACAAGUGACGGUACCUGCAGAAGAAGCGCCGGCUAACUACGUGCCAGCAGCCGCGGUAAUACGUAGGGCGCAAGCGUUGUCCGGAAUUAUUGGGCGUAAAGAGCUCGUAGGCGGUUUGUCGCGUCUGCUGUGAAAGCCCGGGGCUUAACCCCGGGUGUGCAGUGGGUACGGGCAGACUAGAGUGCAGUAGGGGAGACUGGAAUUCCUGGUGUAGCGGUGGAAUGCGCAGAUAUCAGGAGGAACACCGAUGGCGAAGGCAGGUCUCUGGGCUGUUACUGACGCUGAGGAGCGAAAGCAUGGGGAGCGAACAGGAUUAGAUACCCUGGUAGUCCAUGCCGUAAACGUUGGGCACUAGGUGUGGGGAGCAUUCCACGUGUUCCGCGCCGUAGCUAACGCAUUAAGUGCCCCGCCUGGGGAGUACGG